RNAcentral lists this ribosomal RNA (487 nucleotides) under Peptostreptococcaceae bacterium canine oral taxon 124. RNAcentral describes it as "bacterial SSU rRNA". It matches the Rfam family "Bacterial small subunit ribosomal RNA", at positions 9 to 497 of the family's 1533-position model. Lineage: Bacteria; Bacillati; Bacillota; Clostridia; Peptostreptococcales; Peptostreptococcaceae. The record is from RNAcentral.
GAGUUUGAUUCUGGCUCAGGAUGAACGCUGGCGGCGUGCCUAACACAUGCAAGUCGAGCGGGAAAUUUCGGAAUGAAACUUCGGUAGAAUGAAGAAAUGGAGAGCGGCGGACGGGUGAGUAACGCGUAGGCAACCUGCCCCGUACAGAGGGAUAGCCUCGGGAAACCGGGAUUAAAACCUCAUAACGCAUUCAGCCCGCAUGGGAAGGAUGCCAAAGAUUUAUCGGUAUGGGAUGGGCCUGCGUCUGAUUAGUUAGUUGGUGAGGUAACGGCUCACCAAGGCGACGAUCAGUAGCCGACCUGAGAGGGUAAUCGGCCACAUUGGAACUGAGACACGGUCCAAACUCCUACGGGAGGCAGCAGUGGGGAAUAUUGCACAAUGGGCGAAAGCCUGAUGCAGCAACGCCGCGUGAGCGAAGAAGGCCUUUGGGUCGUAAAGCUCUGUCCUAUGGGAAGAAGAAAGUGACGUACCAUAGAGGAGCCCCGCA